This 499-nucleotide ribosomal RNA is filed under the name uncultured bacterium. Its description in RNAcentral is "partial 16S ribosomal RNA". It matches the Rfam family "Bacterial small subunit ribosomal RNA", at positions 355 to 864 of the family's 1533-position model. The record is from RNAcentral.
UGGGGAAUAUUGCACAAUGGGCGAAAGCCUGAUGCAGCAACGCCGCGUGCGGGAUGACGGCCUUCGGGUUGUAAACCGCUUUCAGCAGGGACGAAGGGUUUCUGACGGUACCUGCAGAAGAAGCACCGGCUAACUACGUGCCAGCAGCCGCGGUGAUACGUAGGGUGCGAGCGUUGUCCGGAAUUAUUGGGCGUAAAGAGCUCGUAGGUGGUUUGUUGCGUCGGAAGUGAAAACUCAGGGCUUAACCCUGAGCCUGCUUUCGAUACGGGCAGACUAGAGGAAGGUAGGGGAGAACGGAAUUCCUGGUGGAGCGGUGGAAUGCGCAGAUAUCAGGAGGAACACCGGUGGCGAAGGCGGUUCUCUGGACCUUUCCUGACGCUGAGGAGCGAAAGCGUGGGGAGCAAACAGGCUUAGAUACCCUGGUAGUCCACGCCGUAAACGGUGGGCACUAGGUGUGGGGGACAUUCCACGUUCUCCGUGCCGUAGCUAACGCAUUAAG